GGCGGCAGAGGGUGGUGCAAUCAGACAACGCCCUCGCCUUUUACUAGGGCGUUCCGUGUGCCACCCUCACAUCAAUGCUGCCUUGCGAAUUUUUCGGCCUUCAGCUCGCUCUGAAUU
RNAcentral lists this small nuclear RNA (117 nucleotides) under Peniophora sp. CONT. RNAcentral describes it as "U5 spliceosomal RNA". It matches the Rfam family "U5 spliceosomal RNA". Rfam says of the family: U5 RNA is a component of both types of known spliceosome. The precise function of this molecule is unknown, though it is known that the 5' loop is required for splice site selection and p220 binding, and that both the 3' stem-loop and the Sm site are important for Sm protein binding and cap methylation. Lineage: Eukaryota; Fungi; Basidiomycota; Agaricomycetes; Russulales; Peniophoraceae. The record is from Rfam by way of RNAcentral.